UUUAAGGUCUAACCUGCCCAAUGAGGAUUUAAAUGGCCGCAGUAUUUUGACUGUGCAAAGGUAGCAUAAUUAUUAGUUUUUUAAUUGAAAGCUUGUAUGAAGGGUUGGACGAGAUGAAAUCUGUCUUUAUUUAAAUUAAAAUAUAAUUUAACUUUUAAGUAAAAAGGCUUAAAUGUUUAUAAAAGACGAGAAGACCCUAUAGAUCUUUAUUUAAUUAAAAUUUUAAUAAUUUAGGAUUAUUUUAAUUUAAAGUUUUAAUUAAAUUUUAUUGGGGUAAUAUAAAGAUUAAAUAAAUUCUUUUUAUUUAUAACAUUGAUUUAUGAAUAUAUGAUCCAUUAAUAUUGAUUAUAAGAUUAAGUUACCUUAGGGAUAACAGCGUAAUUUUUUUGGAGAGCUCAUAUCGAUAAAAAAGUUUGCGACCUCGAUGUUGGAUUAAAAAUUAGCUUGGGUGCAGAAGCUCAAGAUUUUGGUCUGUUCGACCAUUAAAUUUUUACAUGAUCUGAGUUCAGACCGGCGUAAGCCAGGUCGGUUUCUAUCUUUAUUAAGAUAAAAUGUUUUAGUACGAAAGGACCAAAUAUUUAAUAUAAUUAUAUUUAUUUUUU
Molecule: ribosomal RNA, 602 nt
Filed under: Cicindela (Rivacindela) sp. JP-37
Lineage: Eukaryota; Metazoa; Arthropoda; Insecta; Coleoptera; Carabidae
Description: partial 16S ribosomal RNA
Rfam family: Bacterial large subunit ribosomal RNA
Source: RNAcentral